GACGAACGCUGGCGGCGUGCCUAAUACAUGCAAGUCGAACGCUGAAGGAGGAGCUUGCUUCUCUGGAUGAGUUGCGAACGGGUGAGUAACGCGUAGGUAACCUGCCUGGUAGCGGGGGAUAACUAUUGGAAACGAUAGCUAAUACCGCAUAAUAUUGACUAUUGCAUGAUAGUCAGUUGAAAGGUGCAACUGCACCACUACCAGAUGGACCUGCGUUGUAUUAGCUAGUUGGUGGGGUAACGGCUCACCAAAGCGACGAUACAUAGCCGACCUGAGAGGGGGGUCGGGCACAACGGGAAUGGGGAACGGCCCAAGACCCUAAGGGGAGCAGCAGUAGGGGAAUUUCGGAAAAGGGCGGAAGUCUGACCGAAGAACGCCGGGGGAGUGAAGAAAGUUUUCGGGUCGUAAAGCUCUGUUGUAAGAGAAGAACGAGUGGGAGAGUGGAAAGCUCACGCUGUGACGGUACCUAACCAGAAAGGGACGGCUAACUACGUG
Molecule: ribosomal RNA, 495 nt
Filed under: uncultured bacterium
Lineage: Bacteria
Description: partial 16S ribosomal RNA
Rfam family: Bacterial small subunit ribosomal RNA
Source: RNAcentral